ACAGAGGGUGCAAACGUUGCUCGGAAUCACUGGGCGUAAAGGGCGCGUAGGCGGGAAUGUAAGUCGGGCGUGAAAUCCCUAGGCUCAACCUAGGAACUGCACUCGAAACUGCGUUUCUUGAGUAUCGGAGAGGAAAGCGGAAUUCCUGGUGUAGAGGUGAAAUUCGUAGAUAUCAGGAGGAACACCAGUGGCGAAGGCGGCUUUCUGGACGGUAACUGACGCUGAGGCGCGAAAGCGUGGGGAGCAAACAGGAUUAGAUACCCUGGUAGUCCACGCUGUAAACGAUGAGCGCUAGGUGUCGUGGGUAUUGACCCCCGCGGUGCCGAAGCUAACGCAUUAAGCGCUCCGCCUGGGAAGUACGGUCGCAAGACUA
RNAcentral lists this ribosomal RNA (373 nucleotides) under uncultured bacterium. Its description in RNAcentral is "bacterial SSU rRNA". It matches the Rfam family "Bacterial small subunit ribosomal RNA", at positions 525 to 896 of the family's 1533-position model. The record is from RNAcentral.